Malaclemys terrapin pileata is the source of this 1704-nucleotide long non-coding RNA. RefSeq lists it as uncharacterized. The transcript is spliced from 3 exons. Lineage: Eukaryota; Metazoa; Chordata; Testudines; Emydidae. The record is from RefSeq and is a predicted model, not a curated record.
GACUCUGUGUGUGUGUCAUGGGGGGUGCUCUGCAGUGGGAACAGGGACAAUUCUCCAACUUUGGGCAGUCGAGAGCCUGGGUGAGAUAAGGGCCGUUAAAGCCCUUUGUGAAGGAGAAAGGGGAGUUUCACGGUGUUGAGCACCAAGGAAUUCUAAACUUUGCUAAAACAUCUAGUCUGCAGAAACCAGAAAUGGUCGGGGCGAAGAGACAGGAGAAAUUCGGAGAGUGGUCACUAUUGGGCAGGAAUCGGAGGAGCGGGAGGCAGGUCGGGGGAUCCUGCUGUCUGUGUGGGGCCCUGGCUGUGUAAUCUCCUCACUGGGAAGUGUCAGUGAGGCCCGAAUCUCACACGCUCCUUUGUCUCCUUUGGGUCUCACAGGAGCUCAUUGAGGAGCUGCCUGAUAACUCUCCACCCGGCGCCGUCCUCGCUAACUCCCUGAUUGCUGUGGGCAACCUCAGGAUCUGCCUAGGGUCUUGCCAGACCUCCUGGACGCCAUGCUGGGGAACCUGCUGGCAGAGUCCCCAGACACCGACAGGCUCCAGUACAUCUUGGAGCUGAGCCCGAUGAGAGGGGUGGGGGCAAUUUUACCCUCACUCUUAGAUCCAUUUUCCAGUCUGUCCUCCUAGCCGGGCCCCCAGUGGGCAUCCUUGGUCAGGGCAGUCAGUGCAAUGCCUCCUUUCCCCACAGCACAUUAACUACUGGAUCGUGUCCAGGGUGCCGCGAGAGAGAGCCAGGGCCGUUAAGAGCAGCACGGCCCUGCUCAGAUCCACCAUCACCCUCCCUGAGUUUGACAACUCAGCGGAAUUCCCCAGGAUGGGUCACCACAUGGCACAGCUAGCUCUGUCCGUCAGUGACCCAGCCAAGGACAUCAGCCGGCAGACCAAGGAGGGGGGUUACCAGCUGCUGCUGCACCAGAGGGGUAAGGAACCCAGCUGGGAAAUGGCACCCGCUAGAAGAGUGAGACUGGGACCCCAGCCAAUUUCUCUCAGACUGACCCCGGCUGGAGGAUGAGUCUCUCUGUCUCUUUCUGUGAUCCACACCACGCCCUGCAAUUCUGUUGGGCCGGGCAUGCAGCGAGGACUCUGCCCACUGUGCUGCCACCAAUGGGAUUGGAAGGACACAAGCCCUGCAACCAGAAGGACAAAUGUGUGUGUGUCUCUCUCCCUAUCACCUACUCCCUCCUGGGGGAAACCCAGCAGCUGAUGGGGGACAAGGUGAGCAGCUGCAUUGGACUCAGGAGAUUGGGGCGGGGCCCAGGCCUCAUUCCCAUCCUGUGGCCAUUCGCUGGCCUGGCACAAGGAGCCUGGUGGGGAAUGAAAGGGAGAGCAGGUGCUCCUGGGAAGGGAGAUGAAUUCACCUCCAUGAGCAGGAGCGAGCCAGCUUGUCCCCGGAGCAGCUCCACCCAGCUCUUUAGCCAGGCUAAUUAAUGACAAGCUUUGCCUCAUCCCAGACUUAUGUUCUUAGGACAGGGUGCUAUCGCUCUUGGGAAGGGCAGGAUAGUCCCCCAAGUGCCCUCUGCGAGACUCUCCUGUCCCACAGGGCCGCACCCAAUUCCUAGUGGUCUGGUGUCUGUGUCACUCGAGCCACCACCCAGAGUUGCUCCCAUCACUGGCAGCCUGGGAGGCCAAGGACUGACGGGUGAUGGCGUCUGACCAGGCAGGGCUGAGGCACAUGGGCAGGGGACGCUUGUCCUGCUACUGGCAAG